This 1356-nucleotide ribosomal RNA is filed under the name Escherichia coli. RNAcentral's name for it is "partial 23S ribosomal RNA". It matches the Rfam family "Bacterial large subunit ribosomal RNA", at positions 1584 to 2916 of the family's 2925-position model. The record is from RNAcentral. Lineage: Bacteria; Pseudomonadati; Pseudomonadota; Gammaproteobacteria; Enterobacterales; Enterobacteriaceae.
GCUGAAGCAACAAAUGCCCUGCUUCCAGGAAAAGCCUCUAAGCAUCAGGUAACAUCAAAUCGUACCCCAAACCGACACAGGUGGUCAGGUAGAGAAUACCAAGGCGCUUGAGAGAACUCGGGUGAAGGAACUAGGCAAAAUGGUGCCGUAACUUCGGGAGAAGGCACGCUGAUAUGUAGGUGAAGUCCCUCGCGGAUGGAGCUGAAAUCAGUCGAAGAUACCAGCUGGCUGCAACUGUUUAUUAAAAACACAGCACUGUGCAAACACGAAAGUGGACGUAUACGGUGUGACGCCUGCCCGGUGCCGGAAGGUUAAUUGAUGGGGUUAGCGCAAGCGAAGCUCUUGAUCGAAGCCCCGGUAAACGGCGGCCGUAACUAUAACGGUCCUAAGGUAGCGAAAUUCCUUGUCGGGUAAGUUCCGACCUGCACGAAUGGCGUAAUGAUGGCCAGGCUGUCUCCACCCGAGACUCAGUGAAAUUGAACUCGCUGUGAAGAUGCAGUGUACCCGCGGCAAGACGGAAAGACCCCGUGAACCUUUACUAUAGCUUGACACUGAACAUUGAGCCUUGAUGUGUAGGAUAGGUGGGAGGCUUUGAAGUGUGGACGCCAGUCUGCAUGGAGCCGACCUUGAAAUACCACCCUUUAAUGUUUGAUGUUCUAACGUUGACCCGUAAUCCGGGUUGCGGACAGUGUCUGGUGGGUAGUUUGACUGGGGCGGUCUCCUCCUAAAGAGUAACGGAGGAGCACGAAGGUUGGCUAAUCCUGGUCGGACAUCAGGAGGUUAGUGCAAUGGCAUAAGCCAGCUUGACUGCGAGCGUGACGGCGCGAGCAGGUGCGAAAGCAGGUCAUAGUGAUCCGGUGGUUCUGAAUGGAAGGGCCAUCGCUCAACGGAUAAAAGGUACUCCGGGGAUAACAGGCUGAUACCGCCCAAGAGUUCAUAUCGACGGCGGUGUUUGGCACCUCGAUGUCGGCUCAUCACAUCCUGGGGCUGAAGUAGGUCCCAAGGGUAUGGCUGUUCGCCAUUUAAAGUGGUACGCGAGCUGGGUUUAGAACGUCGUGAGACAGUUCGGUCCCUAUCUGCCGUGGGCGCUGGAGAACUGAGGGGGGCUGCUCCUAGUACGAGAGGACCGGAGUGGACGCAUCACUGGUGUUCGGGUUGUCAUGCCAAUGGCACUGCCCGGUAGCUAAAUGCGGAAGAGAUAAGUGCUGAAAGCAUCUAAGCACGAAACUUGCCCCGAGAUGAGUUCUCCCUGACUCCUUGAGAGUCCUGAAGGAACGUUGAAGACGACGACGUUGAUAGGCCGGGUGUGUAAGCGCAGCGAUGCGUUGAGCUAACCGGUACUAAUGAACCGUGAGG